AACGAACGCUGGCGGCAUGCCUAACACAUGCAAGUCGAACGAGACCUUCGGGUCUAGUGGCGCACGGGUGCGUAAGGCGUGGGAACCUGUCCUUAGGUUCGGAAUAACUCCCCGAAAGGGGUUCUAAUACCGGAUAAUGACUUCGGAACAAAGAUUUAUCGCUUUUGGAUGGGCCCGCGUUGGAUUAGCUAGUUGGUAGGGUAAAAGCCUACCAAGACGUCGAUCCAUAGCUGGUCUGAGAGGAUGAUCAGCCACACUGGGACUGAGACACGGUCCAGAAUCCUACAGGAGGCAGCGGUGGGGAAUAUUAUACAGUGAGCGAGAGCGUGAGCCAGCAAUGCCGCGUGAGUGAUGAAGGCCUUAGAGUGGUAAAACUCUUUUACCCGGGAUGAUAAUGACAGUACCGGAAGAAUAAGCACCGGCUAACUCCGUG
This 433-nucleotide ribosomal RNA is filed under the name uncultured bacterium. Its description in RNAcentral is "partial 16S ribosomal RNA". It matches the Rfam family "Bacterial small subunit ribosomal RNA", at positions 29 to 507 of the family's 1533-position model. The record is from RNAcentral.